This 406-nucleotide ribosomal RNA is filed under the name uncultured bacterium. Its description in RNAcentral is "partial 16S ribosomal RNA". It matches the Rfam family "Bacterial small subunit ribosomal RNA", at positions 30 to 526 of the family's 1533-position model. The record is from RNAcentral.
AUUGAACGCUGGCGGCAGGCCUAACACAUGCAAGUCGAACGAGUGGCGGACGGGUGAGUAAUGUCUGGGAAACUGCCCGAUGGAGCGGGAUAACUACUGGAAAAGGUAGCUAAUACCGCAUACCAUCGGAUGUGCCCAGAGGGGAUUAGCUAGUCGGUGGGGUAACGGCGCACCUAGGCGACGAUCCCUAGCUGGUCUGAGAGGAUGACCAGCAACACUGGAAAUGAGAAACGGUCCAGGCUCCUACGGGAGGCAGCAGUGGGGAAUAUUGCAAAAUGGGCGCAAGCCUGACGGAGCAAUGCCGCGUGGAUGAAGAAGGUUUUCGGGUUGUAAAGCACUUUCAGCGGGGAGGCGUUAUCCGCAGAAGAAGCCCCGGCUAACUCCGUGCCAGCAGCCGCGGUAAUUC